This is a long non-coding RNA of Phyllopteryx taeniolatus (common seadragon), 2491 nucleotides long. RefSeq lists it as uncharacterized. The record is from RefSeq and is a predicted model, not a curated record. Lineage: Eukaryota; Metazoa; Chordata; Actinopteri; Syngnathiformes; Syngnathidae. The transcript is spliced from 5 exons.
AGUGUUGGAAAAGAUAAGACAGUGUGGGAUAGACUGGAAGAAGACGAAGCAUAAUAAUGCCGACAGAGAGCUGGUGGGAGGGAGAUGUCAAAGCGGGGAGGAAGCCAUCAAGUACCGGUCGGUGUGCAUCUCUCGGGGAGUCGGGGCUGGUGUGAAGGGAAAACGGCCGAGUUGUCAUAUUUUUGGGCAGUGGGCGUGUGCAAGCACCAAAAUGGCUGUUUUAAGACUACACCUCAUACACAACAAGUUGUCCGCGCCAGGACCGACGAGGGGAACACGCGAUCCCCUCGAGACAGACCAUCCUCGCAUGACGGCGGUUGCCACCAGAGACUCACCGAAGCGUCUUGCUGUCUGUAAGACGUCGCUGCGUCCUCAUCACAUGCCGCUCCACGGACGCAUCAGCUAAAACGGCGUGAUGGCAGCACGGCAGGUGAGGGACAGACCGAUGCAGAGUCCGCAUCACCGCAGAUGCUGCCCCGAUCCGCCUUGUUGAUCUCCCGCUCCAUUCUUCAACAAGACCCCAAGAUACUUGAACUCCUCCGCUUGAGCAGGAUCUCAUCUCAAGUGCUUCACACUCAGCCGUGAUCCGCUCCAGCAAGUGUUUCAGAUCGCCGCGCAAUGAAGCCUGGACUGGUUGCCGGCCAAUCGCAUGGCACGUAUAGAAAAACAACCAUCCACUCUCACAUUCACUCCUAUGGACACUUUAAAGUUGAGAGUAAAGAGAAACGUCAGACUUCCUCCACCUUCUGCCAUUGUUUUUUUUUCUAGUGUUGAAGUGACAGAAAACGGGUGACGAGAUGAAAUGUUCAGCAGCAUUCUGCAACGAGUCCCGUAAACGUGACAGCUUUAUAGAUGCCAUGUCUGCUUUGUGUUGUGGUAAAGACUACCAAAACAUAGUUUAUCAGGUGUCAAAGUAAAAGUCAUAACAGCAUUCGAGUGGUACCGCCUGUAAUCUAUUUUAUUUGUCUAAUUUGGGGUAUGACAUUCUAGAUUUCAGGGGGUCCUCGGUUAGCAAAAGCGUUCCGAUCCUACUGUGGUGACGUAACCCAGAUUUGUACAUGAUUGGGAAUGCGCCGUAGUCGAUCACUAACCUGCACUAAUGCAGUUGUACAGUCAGAAUUAGUCUUUGCAAAAAAUAAAACCAUUCUAAGCCAUGAAUGUAAAACAAUCCAAUGAAAAACAGAAAGUAUGGUAGAAACUGGUCGUUCCUUCUUGUGUCACACAUUCUUACAUCAUCAGCGUUAGCUGCUGUUAAGCGGGGUAUAGAUGCACAAAGGGCAAAACAGUUGCGGUUUACCAACAAACCAUGAUAACAUUUCAAACUGGUAAUCGUUAUUAUCGUUACUACUGUAUUUAGUCUAUUCAUGGCCUAAAAGUGCUCCGAAUUUCGCGCUACUUUUCUGAGACGGUCAAUAUGGUGCUCACAAUAAUUACGAUUUCAAUAUACAUAAGUCCAGUGCAUUCACAUUUCAUCCCUCUGCACAGCCAAACUAAAUUACGAAUCAACCAAAUCACGCGCGACUCGAAUUCCACAGCCGACCAUUUGAAAUUACUCAGCUACUUGUGACAAAGGCACGACGAGUCUUUUUGAACGGAAACAUCAAAGCGCAUCUCCAUUCAGCUGCGUCACGCCGGCAUUCAUUAAAAAGCACGCUCGUGUGCUGAUUAAAAUGCCAGAGUGUCCCCCUCCUAGAACCAUCUGAUAGACAUAACCUUUAAGUGGGCCAUUAGGAAUAUAUUAAAAAAAGACUCAUUUCCUGGGAAUGUGUUGCUGGUGAAUGAUUAAAACAGCCCAAACAGGGCAUAGCGAUCCCCUCCCGAAAAGACAUGGACGAGGAGCUAACUCUUGAAAUGGAAUCAUGCCCUGAGUCGGGUGUGGAUUGCAGGCCCCCCGUAAAUCAUCUCAACGCCCCUGAUAUUAUUUUAAAUAUUGAUCAAGGGGCUUGGGCCCUCUGAUCCGAAAUCGUUGCAGCUGAGGAAAGCCAUGCGGCAGGGUAACAUGCAAGACCUUGUAGUGGCUGAUUGAAGGGAAGAGGGGGUGUUGUAAAUUAAAAUGCUGCUGCUUAAUUCAGCAACCAAUCAAUGUUUGCAUAUCUGAAAUGUAAAUGCAGGGGAUCGCCAUCUUGGGAGCCAAUCAAAAAAGGAAAUCAAAUUAAGUUUGGGACUAGCAAUAAGUCAUGAUGACUCCCAAAAGGUGGGCAAAAAAUAUUAUGCAGAUGAGAAUGCAAAGUCACUAUCGGGUCUGAUGAUUUGUUUUCGCUCCUUGAAAGUGAUUUAGCAAAGUUCGAAUGAGGAUUUCCAAACAGUCCGCUACAAUUCAUUAACAUCAUUUACAAGGAGCCUUGACACUCUGCCUGAAUUAGGGAUGAGUAAUCAUAAAAUUAUUGAUAUUUGUUUGCUGCCAAAACAGUCUGCUGGAGUAUUUGUUUUUGGGAUGUACAGUGGCUCCUGUAUCAUAUUUCCCCAUUGAAACAAAUUGAAAUGCCAUUAA